GAUCAUGGCUCAGGAUGAACGCUGGCGGCGUGCUUAACACAUGCAAGUCGAACGGGAAACUUUUCAUUGAAGCUUCGGCAGAUUUGGUCUGUUCUAGUGGCGGACGGGUGAGUAACGCGUGGGUAACCUGCCUUAUACAGGGGGAUAACAACCAGAAAUGGUUGCUAAUACCGCAUAAGCGCGCAGGACCGCAUGGUCCGGUGUGAAAAACUCCGGUGGUAUAAGAUGGACCCGCGUUGGAUUAG
Molecule: ribosomal RNA, 245 nt
Filed under: uncultured bacterium
Lineage: Bacteria
Description: partial 16S ribosomal RNA
Rfam family: Bacterial small subunit ribosomal RNA
Source: RNAcentral